Molecule: ribosomal RNA, 470 nt
Filed under: uncultured bacterium
Lineage: Bacteria
Description: bacterial SSU rRNA
Rfam family: Bacterial small subunit ribosomal RNA
Source: RNAcentral
ACGCUAUCACUCCUACGGGAGGCAGCAGUGAGGAAUAUUGGUCAAUGGGCGCAAGCCUGAACCAGCCAUGCCGCGUGCAGGAAGACUGCCCUAUGGGUUGUAAACUGCUUUUAUACAGGAAGAAACACUCCCUCGAGUAGGGAGCUUGACGGUACUGUAAGAAUAAGGAUCGGCUAACUCCGUGCCAGCAGCCGCGGUAAUACGGAGGAUCCAAGCGUUAUCCGGAAUCAUUGGGUUUAAAGGGUCCGUAGGUGGAUAAUUAAGUCAGAGGUGAAAGUCUGCGGCUCAACCGUAGAAUUGCCUUUGAUACUGGUUAUCUUGAAUUAUUAUGAAGUAGUUAGAAUAUGUAGUGUAGCGGUGAAAUGCAUAGAUAUUACAUGGAAUACCAAUUGCGAAGGCAGGUUACUAACAAUAUAUUGACGCUGAUGGACGAAAGCGUGGGUAGCGAACAGGAUUAGAUACCCUGGUAG